RNAcentral lists this transfer RNA (64 nucleotides) under Lumbriculus variegatus. RNAcentral describes it as "tRNA-Lys". Lineage: Eukaryota; Metazoa; Annelida; Clitellata; Lumbriculida; Lumbriculidae. The record is from RNAcentral.
AUCCGGGGAGCUUGUAUUUAAGCACGUGCCUUUUAAUCACGAGAAAACACUCAGUUUCCGGAUC